GGUGGGUGGGUAGCUUUGUUUUGUAAGGAGGGCAUAGUUACAUCGGUGGACAGGAGUUGGUUUCCUAUUGCGGGUUUGGGAGAACGAGACGAGGACAAAAUGGACGUCUUUGAGAAGCUUGAAAGUACUGCCUUGAAGUUGAGAAACAUGGCACUGAGCAGCUGCCAGUCUCCUGUCCUUACCAGCAGCAAGGAAGAAGAAACACUCACACAUUUGCUCAG
Molecule: non-coding RNA, 221 nt
Organism: Lepisosteus oculatus (spotted gar)
Lineage: Eukaryota; Metazoa; Chordata; Actinopteri; Semionotiformes; Lepisosteidae
Source: RefSeq, a predicted model, not a curated record